RNAcentral lists this small nuclear RNA (154 nucleotides) under Erinaceus europaeus (western European hedgehog). Its description in RNAcentral is "U1 spliceosomal RNA (ENSEEUG00000018855.1)". It matches the Rfam family "U1 spliceosomal RNA". Rfam says of the family: U1 is a small nuclear RNA (snRNA) component of the spliceosome (involved in pre-mRNA splicing). Its 5' end forms complementary base pairs with the 5' splice junction, thus defining the 5' donor site of an intron. Lineage: Eukaryota; Metazoa; Chordata; Mammalia; Eulipotyphla; Erinaceidae. The record is from RNAcentral.
ACAUUUACCUGGCAGGGGAGAUGGCAUGAUCACAGGGUGGAUUUCCCAGAGUAAGGCUAAGGCCCUCUGGCUGUGUGGACCCCUGUAAUUCCCUCAUAUGUGGGAAACUCCACUGCAGAAAGUAUGGCAGCAGGAGCUACUUCACACUCUCCUA